Molecule: long non-coding RNA, 231 nt
Organism: Hordeum vulgare subsp. vulgare (domesticated barley)
Lineage: Eukaryota; Viridiplantae; Streptophyta; Magnoliopsida; Poales; Poaceae
Exons: 2
Source: RefSeq, a predicted model, not a curated record
ACUACAACCAGCAGCGACCGUCUCAGGAGCUGGUCGCCAAGGAUUUGCACGACACCGAGUGGAAGUUUCGCCACAUCUAUCGAGUUUUUGUCCAGUGAUAGGAAGGGAAAACAAAUUGUUGGAAGAAUAGUGGUGUACUGGAGUCAGAAUCAAUCAGACACCUUGUUAAGUAAAAAUUUGAUGUGUGCCACUUGUGAUUUUGAGUUGAUAAAGAACUUCAAAAUGUACUUC